Molecule: ribosomal RNA, 305 nt
Filed under: uncultured bacterium
Lineage: Bacteria
Description: partial 16S ribosomal RNA
Rfam family: Bacterial small subunit ribosomal RNA
Source: RNAcentral
ACAGCAGUAGCCGCGGGAAUACGUAGGGUGCAAGCGUUAAUCGGAAUUACUGGGCGUAAUGCGUGCGCAGGCGGUUCGUUAAGACAGAUGUGAAAUCCCCGGGCUCAACCUGGGAACUGCAUUUGAGACUGUAUGGCUAGAGUGUGUCAGAGGGGGGUAGAAUUCCACGUGUAGCAGUGGAAUGCGUAGAUAUGUGGAGGAAUACCGAUGGCGAAGGCAGCCCCCUGGGAUAACACUGACGCUCAUGCACGAAAGCGUUGGGAGCAAACAGAAUUAGAUACCCCGGUAGUCCCUGUCUCUUAUAC